AAGAGGGAGGUUCUAUUGUAUGCAGCUGAAUUUAAUCCUAAAUGAGCCUUUCCAUAGUAAAUUAUUUUACUGUAAUUUACAAACCAAAAUGAUAGAAAUUUGAUACGACAGAAACCAAAAUGAUAGAAAUACAGUAUGAGCGUAGCAGCUCCUGAAUUCCAAUAUGAAAAAAGUCAAAUGUGUGUGUGUGUGUGUAUGUGUGUGUAUAUAUAUAUACACACCUUCAUUUUCACCACAUGAAAAAAGCGGGUAAUAAUGCCUACAUCACAGGGAUGCUGUCAGACUCAAAUAAAAUAGACUGUGCUAACUAGUCUGUAAACAGAGCGUUAUAUUCAUCAUUACUAUUGCAAUUACCACUAUACUAGCUGACUGGUUAAGUGUCAGUCACAAAACAAAAAGUAUAUGAAAGCAAUUAAAACAGAAACCUGGGUUUCAAGCCCAAGGAAUUCUGUGACCCUGUCAAACCUCCUUCACUAACUUUCUUAUCUCUUUUACUUUGCAGAAAAUACUAGAUCAGCAACCUCAGUUUCCUUUUCUAAAGUGGGGGGGGAGGGGUGGGGCGUGGAAGGAGUUGAGUGGUUAUAAGGGGAAAAAAGAGUAACGGUGGUAAAAGGUUGAAAGCAGUUAGGGAAUAUGACACAUCUGAAAUAUAUAACCCUGCUUUAGCAUUUCACAAACUGUCCGGAGGUAGUCCAGCCAUUUUUAAAUUGAUGCUAGCAAUGGUUUACUUCUACAAUUUAUUCACUCAAAAGAAAAGACUAAAUACAUGCAUACAGCUUCUACAGAGUAUGUAGCAACUUAUCAUUAAAGGUGGGAUGCAGUAUGAGAGAAGUAAGGGGAGGUGCCCUGAUACAAAAAAGGAUUUUUUUUUUUUAAACCUGUGCACUCAGGCACAGGCAGUAUAUUUAAAACAAAAAUGGCUUCAUCUCUUCCGUUUUUACACUUAAGAAUGAUUUAACUUCUCCAAAAUGUGUCUUGAAGUCUGAAAAAAAGCAAAUGAAUUCACUUGUUGAAGCGAUCAACGCGCCCCUGAAACCGCUUCUGGAGGCUACUUUAAUUCACGGAGACACUGUACGGGAGUCAUGUCGCAUUGCGUUGUUCAAUUCAUUCUGUUUUGAAAAGUAUUCCAUGGUCAUGUAACUCCGAGACACGUGCUUGAAGCAAUUUUACUCUUUGCCAGACUUCCGCUUUUCAGAAUCUUCUAAGAGGAGACCGAAAUUAAGAGAUGCUUUUUACUAAGUUUCAAAGAUACCCACCGGCAGCAAACGAGCCAUCCAGGGGUGUCAGAGAUGAGGCGACAGGCAGACGGAUGCCAAGAAUCUGCGGCACAUUUUAAAGGGCUACAGUCAGGAUAACAGGAGUGUGAGAGACAAAGUCAGACAUCUUGAAGGUUUUUGUUCCCAGAAGGGCUACCAGAGGCACUGCCCUUUUAUGUACCCUUCUCCGCUGAAUGGCCAUAUCCAAGCAGCUUUAAUUAAGCAGCAUGGUCUCUGGGGAAUUGGAACUAUUCUACCUUUCCUGUUUGAGACACUUCUUUUAUAAUGGCUGUUUGUGAGUCUGAUGUAUGACUGAGGGCUUGCCGGUCUUCUGAGCCAGCAGGAAGAAUAAAAACAGCGAAAUAACACGAUCUCCUGAGAAGGUAAUCUGUCUAAUGCUAGAGUGAACCAGACCAUUCCAUCCCAGAUCUAAGCGAUGUCUUCCAUAUCAAAGUUCUCCCAAAAGACAGUACAUCCCAAACCCUAUAAUCUUAUUUUCAGGCCAUGACUACGCUGUUAAUAACAUACAUGAGUUCAGUGGGACUUACUUUAAUCAUUUCUGAAACACAGUUUAUUUUUAGUAAAUAUAAAAGUCCCCCACAUGGGAAGCUACAACCAUGCCAAAAAUUUUCUAUGAGGAGAUAAAGUCCUAUUUAUAGACCUAUCAGUUGCUCCUUGCUUAGGCUGUAACAUAGUUUCCACUUUAAGCCUGAUAUGACCUCCCCUGACUUCUCUCCUCUCUAAUGUUCUUUUCAUCCUGAAGUUUCUCACAUUUAUCUUCACCUCCACAGGGCACUUAAGCUACCAUGGGGUUGGGGGGAGGGGGAAGGGAGAAGGAAAGAAUCUCCUCUCCCUAAGCCUUCUCCCAGUGGAGGGGUUUAGGUGGGUUUCAGGAACCUAAAACAAGGAAGAAAGGAGUUCUUCAUCCGGUGAGCUGUUUGCGAGAGAACCUAAUAAAUAAAUACUUAGUCCGCAAGAACACUGCCACACAAGCGAGCCACGCUCCUGACAAGUGGGCCCACAGAGGUCUUCAUCUGUGUAUGACCUGGCUUCAAGUUUUCCAUCUUUUACAAAGCCAGCAAGAAUAAAUGUCAAGGUUUCCAAUAUGGAGGAUGUUGUACCACAGCUAACCAGGGAACCAAACGAUAAAUGUAAGAGAUUUAUUAACUUUCUCCUAAAGACUGUCUCCUUCAGGGCCCAAGCUGCUGUUGAUGUUGUUUCACAUCAGCUGCCUGCAUCUACACAUCCCCACUUAAAAUGCUAACUGCCGGACCUCCAUCAACGAUUUCAGAAGGGUCUUAUAUCCUGAACGAGACUGCAAGUUCGAUUAUGAGCUCCUCAAGGGCAAAAGCCGUGUCUUAUUCAUCUCAGGAUCAUCCGCGUUAUGCCAGGCAGCUGGCACAGAACAGGCACACGGUACUCAUUGCUGAAAUAUUUGUUAGGCUGAUCCGGAUGGCAGGGGCCACGGAGUAAAUAUACUUCUCUUAUGUGAAUCUCACUGCACACAACUUAGGAAGGGCCAACCUGACUGCAGUAGCACUGGAUCGCAAGCAAUUCCUGAAAGGAGGGAGAAGAACACGGCCAUGAAGGUGACACCCAGGCACCUCCCACUGGGGGAUCUCAUCCCCAUUCGCACGCGUUCAAAGACAUGGUGAACACAGGAUACACCGAAUGACAGGGCAAAUGACAGUAUUUCCUCACUCCAAGGAAAUUCAACCUGCUUUUUCCAUCUACCUGUUUAUCACUCAUCUUCUCAUGCCCACCUCUUCCUGCCCCCCACCAAUUCACAGCGAAAUCCCCAACUCUCCAGGAUCUCCAGGAAAAAGCUCGUGAUUUAGCAUUUUCACUUAUAACAAGAAUGGAUGGAUUUAAAUUUCAGUAAAAAUAACUCAAAAUAAACAUCAGUUAAAAAUUCCCUGAUUGUAAAAGUUGGCAAAGACCAAGAAAUGCUCCUCUUAAAAAGCCGUUUUCCACUCUGACCUUUAUCACGUAAAAUGGUACUUCCCUUUUUAACAGAAGACAUACGGAUUUUCUGGGGUGAGCUGAGGCGUGGACAUGGAUGAUUAAAUGAACUCUCAAGCUCAUUUUUCGGAGGCAGCAUGAUACUAAAGAAAGAACUUGGGUUUGUAAGUAGAAUCAAAUUGCCAAAUCACCACUCAGGAGCUAUGACCUUGAGCAAGGACUCUAACCUAACCUCUCUCAACCUCUAUUUCUUCAUCUGUAAAUGCAGGGCUAUUUAUUAUGAAAAUCAGAAAUAACGUACAUAAAACAUCUAGUAGGUUAGUGCCUGGCUAAAUAAAUUACAAUUGUUAAUA
Long non-coding RNA from Leopardus geoffroyi (Geoffroy's cat), 3571 nucleotides. RefSeq lists it as uncharacterized. The record is from RefSeq and is a predicted model, not a curated record. The transcript is spliced from 2 exons. Lineage: Eukaryota; Metazoa; Chordata; Mammalia; Carnivora; Felidae.